UAACCAACUAGGUUUCCUGCCUCC
This 24-nucleotide non-coding RNA is filed under the name Rattus norvegicus (Norway rat). The record is from RNAcentral. Lineage: Eukaryota; Metazoa; Chordata; Mammalia; Rodentia; Muridae.